Anarrhichthys ocellatus (wolf-eel) is the source of this 4385-nucleotide long non-coding RNA. RefSeq lists it as uncharacterized. The record is from RefSeq and is a predicted model, not a curated record. The transcript has 2 exons. Lineage: Eukaryota; Metazoa; Chordata; Actinopteri; Perciformes; Anarhichadidae.
CUCUCCUCUCAUUCACUCAUUCACUGAAUCAUACGAAAAUCAUUGUCAAUGCUUCUUCUUUACAUGAGAUGGACAAUCAUCACGCGCUGUUUGAUGUGAUAUAAAAAAAAAUAUGAUUCCACUUUUCACCCGCUAUAAUUCACCAACUGAUUGUUUCAAAUGUAGGUCUAGAUUGAGAAUUACUUAAUAAGCUAAAGUUAUACCAAUCCAUGUUUUCAUAUUGAUAACAGAUCAAAUGACUUCAGGUAGUCUGCAGUUGGCCUCAGUCAGCACCUUUUGAGAUGUUUUUUUGGACUUGGUUUGCACUGAAUUAUAUUGCUUCCGCUUGUUGCACCAUUUAUAAUCAUCAUCACAUUCAUUUGUAUUUCACUUAUGUACAGUGUUCAGAUUUUGGUUUGGGGAGCAGGGAGGGAAGAGCCUUACUAUUGCUUGAGACGGAGGAAAAGGUGUUUGUAGAUCAAUCAAAGUUUACAGCAGUGAUUCUCAAAGACUGGGUCAGGACCCACAUGCUGGGUCGCAGGAGAAUUUAUUAGGGUCGCCAAAUAUAUCUGCACAAUUUCUUCCACAGUCUUUUAAUUGAACAUUUAUAUCUGCGGUUCACCUUUUGAGCCACACGGGGGAGCCUGAAUGUUCAUAUUGUCCGUUUUAAGACACUUCUGUAUGGCUUCAUUUGGCAGAACCGGAGGUUGCUUCCUGCUUGGUGUCCUUGAGCAAAACACUGAACCCUAGAGGCUCCCCGGGGCGCUUCAGCCCACUGCUCCUAAAGGUUAUGGGUUAAAUGCUGAGGUCAGAUGUCUAUGUACCUGUACGUAUAUGACCAUUGUCAUAAGGUUUAUGUUUUUUUACAUUUUAAUCAGGAGGAGACCAUUGAUGUGUGAAGGGAUUUUGGCGACACUACAAUGCAUAAUAAUUAAGUUAGGGAAUGCUUAUCCCAAUACAAAAAAAAAAAAAAAAAAAUAUGCAAAGCACAUUUUUUUCUGAAAUAAGUGUUUUAGUAUAACCAGGAGGAGUUCAUUGAUGCAAGGAGUGAUUUUGGUCACACCAAAGUUAUUGAACAUGUUUACCGUGUGUCUUUUCAGCGUUGCUCUUUGUGGACGGUCCCUACUCACUCCGCUCACCGCUGACAGAAACCAGUAUUAUUAGCUCCUUCUGAGGAAACAUUAGGGUGGAGUUCAUUAGGGCAUCGUUAGUGUUUUAACAACAUGUCGUUUAUGAGUUAUUAUUAUGAGCAAACUACGGCUGGAUAGGCCCACAGCUAGAUCCCUAACAAUUCGCAUACACACAUCAGAGAGGCACUGAUGAUGAUGCAACCAACAGUAUAGUGCAUAGUGACUAAACACCUCGAGAAUCCAAAGGCCUUUGCUAGACUGUUGUUUGUAGACUUCAGUUCAGUGAUAUCUACACCUGAAGCUGCUGGAGGGGAUGGCUGCUGUGGACCACCUGCUGAUCGGAGGUCUGCUUUACCUGGACCACCAUCGUGGAGGUAAGAGAACUAAAUCCAUGUUUCCUUACUUUCUUUCCUGAACCUCCCUGAGAACUGUGAAAGCUUCCUCAGCACAGAAAUGAACACACUUGUUGAAUCUAAAGGUGAAAAAGUAUCAGAAUAUGUGAUGGCCUGUUGGGUGAAUCUCUGCGUUUUCUUGGUGUAAAAUUAAUAUAAGUGUGUUUUAAUGUAUAAAAAGUUGUGGGACACGUGCAUGUGUAAUACAUAAACAAUGCAUGGUGCAGGGAUUUGAAAAAAAUAAGAUGGCGACCGGGCCGAUUUUCAUAAAAUGAAACUAUUGGGAGCCCAACGCAAGAACGUGCAGGUGAGGGGCCCCGUUCCUCUGUGUGGAUGGAGCAUCGGGUCCUUUUAGUUAUUAAAUAUAUAAUCUGUUCAUAACGUUUGAACUAAAAACAGCUUUUCUUUGAUUAUUGCUUGUUUUGUCACUAAUAUUUAAAUGUAACAAGAAGCACUCGGGUCUUUCCGUGCGUUAACUUUUUGUUUCCUCACAGGUGUCUCGUACAUCGUUGAACGUCCCGCAGCCGAAGGGAUCCCCGAGGUGCUCAGGAUCAUCGGCGAUGACGACAAAGGUAAGUACGAAGGUACGACGGCGAGCCAGCGGAGAUCGUCUUUUACAUCGAAGACAGCGAAGAAGCAGCCAUCGGUGUUCCUGAGGUAGAUGAGGAACAAGAGGAUGAAGGUCAGGGCAUCCACCAUCUCCCCUUAGAUGAUGUAGGCAGCGAUAAAGAGGAUGGAGGUGAUGAAGACUCAGAAGUCACAGAUGACAGCGCUGAUUGGUCUGGCAGGUCUGAAGCUUCUGACUGGAUCAGCGAGAUUCUGGGUUCGACAGCAUGUCGUCUGAGGAGGAAGAGGACGCUGGCUAUCGGGAGGAUGGUUUUUGGAGUGAUGAAGAGGAGUUUGAGUUUGAAGACAACGGCGACAUCUUCAGAGCUCCUCGCUGUGGAGGUCUCCUGCGGGAACCUGACCAGCUUCAGCAACCACCUCAGCAUCCAGGAUGCUUUGAGGAAGAAGAGGACAGGUCCAAAAAGCCGACUCCCUCAACCUCCGGCCCUAGCUCCUCCACAAGGAGGAGCAGGGAGGAGGGCGACGAGGAGAGGGAUCCCCCCCAAGAGACAGAAGACGAGUUCCGAGCAUUGCUACGGCGAUGCCCCUCCUUCGACGUCUGGCCUCGGAUGCUCCGCAAACGGGAGAUGGGCGCGAUGCUGGGGGGUCGUUGCUAGGAGCCCGAACUGGUACGAUGACAGCGACUCAGAUUAGGAUUUUAGCUCUGUAUGCAGCAGGACUGACAAUCCAUCUGGAGACAGUCGCAGUCGCGUAUUUUGCGUCCGGCAUUACUGGUAGCACCCUGGGUCGCAUCUUCCACCCCGGGUUUGGUUUGGUUUAAUUUAAUAUUAUUAUUACUGGUUUGCUAAUAAUAUAAAAUAUAUAUAAUAUUUACUUUACGGUCACAUGGUAGUUAUUCUUCCUAUUCAUUGGUUUCAGAAUGUCAAGGAGGCGGGUCUUAUCUAACAAAAGCCUGUCAGGGAAGACGAUCUGUGACCCAAGAGGAGUGAGGAGACACAGCGCGGGAUGAGUCCAACUCACCUUCCAUCCUUCUGGCUGCGGCUCAGUGUAGAGCAGGUCGGCUUUUAACCACAAGGUUGGCGGUGCGAUUCCCAACUCCUGCAUGCAGGGAGACACCGAAGCACAACUGGCUCCCCGACCGCUUUACAGCAUCCCACAACAAUACUUAGGAUGGGUUAGAUAUGGAACAAUAUGGAACCCAUCGGUGUCAGGGGACAAUGGGACUUCCAUUAUAUUAAUGGGACUACCUGUGCCGUGUCAAUAAUAUAACUAUACAUAUAGCAGAUAGAUGGGACCCUCCUCUCAGGUCUGGUCGUAAGAGGAGACCGCUCUUCCUGAUCCAGGCCUGAUUACAUCCGUAUCACUGCUCUUUUUUGUUGAUAGGAGCCAGUAGAAGUAUUAGAUUGAAAUAUCUCCACUGGCUCCUAUGUGUGCCAUGUUGCUCUGAGGUUCAGUGGGUUUCCUGCUGAUCCCAGAUCAUUUGGGGAAAAUGGUGAGGACAAAAUUCUGACUUGGAUAGAAAGUGACCUUACAUGUGAUAUACCUGUUUAUUCAUUUAAUAGAACUCAUAAGUUAAAGAUCACUCACUCUUUUGUUCUUUGAUUUCUUUGUUUGUUUUUUUACUGAGGUGAAGAUAUCUUGAGAUACAGGUAUGGAGAUCAUUAAUAACAUUAUUAAACGAGUCUAAUUAUUAGUAGUUAAUGCAUUAUUCAUUAUUUAUCUUUCAAUUCGUAAUAUUUUGAUGUCAGGCCAGGAUUCCUGUGUCUCCUGAGGGUGGAUGUCAACCAACCAAUCAUCCCAGGAAGCUGUGGCAGCCCACUGAACACCAAACUGUCUUCCAGACCCCCAUCAGCUGGAUCCCUAAACUGCCAGCCCCACCAACACCCUACCUCCCCCCAGCAGUCAAGAGGAUGAGCAGGGCAAACUGGACAGCAGAGAUGUUUCAGUCCACCAAGGCAGGACUCUUUUCCUGAUGCACUCGACAGUCGAUGUCAGCCAGCCGAACAUCUCAGGAAGCUGCAGAAACCACAGCAGUCUACCGAACACACCCCCAAAACCAGUGUGUCACCAUUGAGAUGAAGAAGACGGCAGCCCUGGUCAGUAGGAUGAGGAGUGCCACUGAGCUUCCUUUGUGGUGGCGAGUUUGUGAAGCUGCUCACACGCACCGAAGAAGCUCUCCGCAUCGGCGCACAUCGAGACGGUCAAGAAAGAGACACUAACAGACCAACAUGUUCUUUGGGGCUGUGCAGUGCCUUCCUACGCAUAAUUACUUGCAUCUUUGUUUGGUGUUGAAUUCAAUAAAAAGGUCAAAAUGUAA